AGCGAACGCUGGCGGCAGGCCUAACACAUGCAAGUCGAACGAACCUUUCGGGGUUAGUUGCGGUCGGGUGAGUAACACGUGGGAACGUGCCUUUAUGUUCGGAAUAAUUCAGGGUAAUUUGUGCUAAUACCGAAUGUGCUCUUCGGGUGACAGAUUAAUCGCCUUUAGAGCGGCCCGCGUUUGAUUAGCUAGGUGGUUGAGGUAAUGCCUCACCAAGGCGACGAUCAGUAGCUGGUCUGAGAGGAAGAUCAGCCACAUUGGGACUGAGACACAGUCCAGAAUCCUACGGGAGGCAGGAGUGGGGGAUCUUGCGAAAUGGGCGAAAGGAUGAAGGAGCCAUGGCGGGUGAAUGAUGAAGGUCUUAGGAAAGUAAAGUUCUUUAACCGGGGACGAUAAUGACGGUACCCGGAGAAGAAGCCCCGGCUAACUUCGUG
This 434-nucleotide ribosomal RNA is filed under the name uncultured bacterium. Its description in RNAcentral is "partial 16S ribosomal RNA". It matches the Rfam family "Bacterial small subunit ribosomal RNA", at positions 29 to 507 of the family's 1533-position model. The record is from RNAcentral.